RNA transcript from Mesoplodon densirostris (Blainville's beaked whale), 1305 nucleotides. It is a transcript of the gene named transmembrane protein 202, with no coding region annotated. NCBI's taxonomy places the organism in Eukaryota, Metazoa, Chordata, Mammalia, Artiodactyla, Ziphiidae. The transcript is spliced from 3 exons. The record is from RefSeq and is a predicted model, not a curated record.
CCGAUUCCCCGCCCCUCCAGUCCCGGCGUGAGCCCGGAGCUCCUGUGGCGUGCAGUGGAUGGUACGGGGCAUCCGCGAUGGUUCAGGUGCAGGCGGUUCACGGGCCUGGUGGAGCAGUAGCUAAAUGCACCACCGCAGGUGCCAGUCCUGCGGUCAUAGAACUAUAAGCGCACCAGAGGGUAGAAGCCCCACGUGGGGAGGCCGAGUGGGCGAGCGAGAAAGGAAAGUUUCCCGAAUCGUGAACACGGAAUAAGAGAUCGCGAGGCCUGCUGGGAGACGACAUGCUGAAUGAGUGGUAUCUUUUCCACAGUUGUAUCCUUACUGCCUGAGCCAAGAAUCUGCACAUAGGGACAUGGGUUCAAGACCUCGUCCAGGAAGAUCCCACAUGCCGUGGAGCAACUAAGCCCGUGCGCUGCAACUACUGAGCCUGCGCUCUAGAACCUGCGAGCCACAACUACUGAGCCCAUGUGUCACAACUACUGAAGCCUGUGUGCCUAGAGCCCAUGCACUGCAACAAGAGAAGCCACAAUGAGAAGCAUGUGCACCGCAAUGAAGAGUAGCCCCUGCUCAUCACAACUAGAGAAAGCCCACGCACAGCAACGAAGACCCAACGCAGCCAAAAAUAAAAUACAUUUAUUUAAAAAAUAAAAUAAAAUUAAGAAUGUCUGUUCAUCAAAAGAUACCAUUAGGAAGGUGAAAAGCCAAGUCAUGACUAGAAGAAGAUACCUGAGAAAGAACUUGAACUAUAAUGAAGGAGAUUGGUUUGUAAUUUUUUCUGUAUGUGCUGUCCUCUGACUGAGUAAUCCUAUUCCUAGGAUUUAUUCUCAACAGAAAUGCCUGUGUCUGUUCACUAAAAUUCAUGUACAAGAAUGUUUAUAGCAGUUCUGCUCAUAAUAGCCAAAAACCAGACACAACCCAAGUGUCCAACAAGAGAAGAGUGGAUAAAUAUAUUGUAGUAUAUUCAUACAGAUGGAACAUUAUAAAACUAUUAAAAAGUAAGAACCACUGAUACAUGCAACAAAAUGGAUAAAUCUCACAGACACUAUGUUGAGCAAUAGAAGACAGAUGCAAAAGAUUACUUAGGUAUGAUUACAUUAUAUGAAGUUGAAAAACAAUCAUAUGAGUCAGUGGUGAUAGAAGUAAGAUGGCUGGUUACUUCUGCGAAGGUACAGUAAUAAUGGGGCUACUGGAAAUGUACUAUAUUGUUAUCUUGCUGGUGAUUAUAAGUAUGCAUUCAUAUGUAUAAUUCAUCAGACUAAUAAGUGAGUUCAUCAAGGUUACAGAAUGUAAGAUCAAUAUACAAAA